Molecule: ribosomal RNA, 253 nt
Filed under: uncultured bacterium
Lineage: Bacteria
Description: partial 16S ribosomal RNA
Rfam family: Bacterial small subunit ribosomal RNA
Source: RNAcentral
UACAGAGGGUGCGAGCGUUGUCCGGAAUCACUGGGCGUAAAGGGCGUGUAGGUGGCUCGUUAAGCGUGUGGUGAAAGCCUGGGGCUCAACCCCAGGUCUGCCGUGCGAACUGGCGAGCUUGAGUACAGUAGAGGCAGGUGGAAUUUCGGGUGUAGCGGUGGAAUGCGUAGAUAUCCGAAAGAACACCGGUGGCGAAGGCGGCCUGCUGGGCUGUUACUGACACUGAAACGCGACAGCGUGGGGAGCAAACAGG